RNAcentral lists this ribosomal RNA (477 nucleotides) under uncultured bacterium. RNAcentral's name for it is "partial 16S ribosomal RNA". It matches the Rfam family "Bacterial small subunit ribosomal RNA", at positions 28 to 507 of the family's 1533-position model. The record is from RNAcentral.
GAUAAACGCUGGCGGCGUGCAUAACACAUGCAAGUCGAACGAUGAAGAUUAAAAGAUUUCUUCGGAAUGAACUUAAUUGGAUUAGUGGCGGACGGGUGAGUAACGCGUGAGUAACCUGCCUUGUACAAGGGGAUAGCCGUUGGAAACGACGAAUAAUACCCUAUGACAUCAAAUAAUCGCAUGAUAAUUUGAUCAAAGAUUUAUCGGUAUAAGAUGGACUCGCGUCUGAUUAGCUAGUUGGUAGAGUAAAAGCCUACCAAGGCAACGAUCAGUAGCCGGCUUGGGAGAGUGUACGGCCACAUUGGGACUGAGACACGGCCCAGACUCCUACGGGAGGCAGCAGUGGGGAAUUUUGCACAAUGGGGGAAACCCUGAUGCAGCGACGCCGCGUGAUUUAGAAGGCCUUCGGGUUGUAAAAAUCUUUUGUAUGGGAAGAAAAUGACAGUACCAUACGAAUAAGAACCGGCUAAUUACGUG